UAUCAAAAUGAGUCGGAUGUCGCGGCAGCGCAUUCUUGUAAAAACACGUUUUUUUAUGAAAAAGUGUGUUUUGAGUUGUUUUUUUUUAUGCGUUUCUGAAUAAAUAAAGUCUCAGCUUUCAUAAAAAGUAAGAAUCAAUGUAAAAUUCAAAUGAUAAGUCUAGUUUUGAAGCUCUUAAACAUAACGUUGUCGUAAAGUUUUUACCGGAAGUCCGCUGUAUUGACUCGGCUCAAUAGAGCUGGUUGACAGAUUGUGGUUGACAGAGGAGAUGAAAUCACGUGAGGAAAACAUCGCUCGACUUUUAAAUUAAAUUCCUGUUAGAGGUGCUACAUCUGACGACAACUGGACCGACUUAAAUUCAGAUUAUUUCCCCGCACCGGGUGAUGAGGACAGCGGGUGCGCCGGGUCGGGUCGGAUGCCCGGCUAACGCUAGAGGCUAGGCUAGCUCUCAAUCCGCUGAUCAGGACGGAGAAAGAGAGUUGGAGGAAGACGAGGAGGAAGAUAUUCCACUCAUGGCUGAGCCGAUGAUGACACACAGUGUCUCUGAUUAAAGUUAUUAAAUCAGGACAGUGUUAAAGAGACUGAGAUCGCCCGGCCGGGAGUACCAGUGUAGCUGCAAACUGUACAACAGCGCCGCCCUCUACACCGGAGGAGAUGGAGAGAAGACGCGACUAGAUGAAAGAAAUGACUGAUGAUGAGAAACAUCUGGAUCUCCUUGAGAAGAUCAGCUCCCACAUGACCCUGUCAAAGGAUACAGUGAUCUCCAGGAGAAGCCAGCAGAAUGAGCACAGGCACCACAUUUCAUAGUCUUUCUAUUAUAUCUAUAUUUCUAUUAUAUAUUAUAUUAUAUAAUAUUGUACAUACAUAAUAUGUACAUAAUAUUUGUUCAUAUGUUAUCCAUUUUCUAGUAUGUUUUUUUAUUGUUUGGAUAUGGACUUGUAAGUUUGUGCAUGUACCUGUGUGCACAUGGCUCCAUAUUUAAUAUUUUUAAUUGUGUGUUCUUCAUAUAAUUAUUAUUAUAUUGAAAUAAACAUAUAUACUAUAUAUUAUAUCAUAUGUACAGUAUAUUUUUUAUAUAUUUUAUCAAUUUUAUUCCAUCAAUUUUGGAUUCUUUUCUACAUGGACUUCUAGCCCUAUCUACUGUACUGCUUGUGGUCAUACGCGUGCAUGUGGCCACGUGCACAUCACGUGCUUGUGACUAUGUGCACAUGUAUGCAUGUAAGUAUGUGUAGGCUACAUUAUGAAAUGUUGGGUGUCACUUUUGACCAAGAAAUAUUGUGUUCAUUUAGACUUGAGUCUUAAUAAAUGUGUUUUAAUCAAUGCAAAAAA
Long non-coding RNA from Sebastes umbrosus (honeycomb rockfish), 1329 nucleotides. RefSeq lists it as uncharacterized. The record is from RefSeq and is a predicted model, not a curated record. NCBI's taxonomy places the organism in Eukaryota, Metazoa, Chordata, Actinopteri, Perciformes, Sebastidae. The transcript has 2 exons.